CAGGCCCUAUGGGCUGCACUGUCGACCUUCUACUCCAACCUCAAUAAUAAGAACACUGGGAAUUCCAAGAAGCUCUUCUCCACAAUAAAUCACUUCCUGAAGCCACAAGCACUCUCACUAACUGAAGCUACAGAGACGCUGGACGCAGUGGGAGAAGAAGCACAGCAACCUGAUUAAGUCUGGCUGAUAAAGUCCCUGCCAUCAGUGCCCGGUGAACAACAAAACUGAGUGGAACUCUGGAUAAAAAAACUGCAGAGAGAUUCUGCCUUCCCCCCUAUUCAAGAUCGUUGAAUAAAAAACAAGCCCAGGACCAUUAAUUCAAUUCAAAAGCUAUGGGGCGAGGUAGGAGAUGUAGCCGAGGAAAAGGAAAGAGGAGUCAUGACCUCAUGUGUGUUUCCACUGUCGGGAAAAGAGACAUUUAUGAUACGAACUAGUAACACUGACUGGGGUAUGGAUGUGAAGGAUGAUCAUAUUCUUAGCAGUUUUGAAAAGCAAGAUGACUGCUGUACUUGACAGACACAGAUCUCGGGUCUCUGCGGUUGGACUGGGGAAGAAUCCUUAGUUUCAACAGGGUGGUAAGUAAUGAUCUGAAUACCUAACUUGGUUUACGUUCUGGGUGAUUGUUUUGAGCUAGCAAAAUAUUUCACAACACGGGCUA
Fundulus heteroclitus (mummichog) is the source of this 658-nucleotide long non-coding RNA. RefSeq lists it as uncharacterized. The record is from RefSeq and is a predicted model, not a curated record. NCBI's taxonomy places the organism in Eukaryota, Metazoa, Chordata, Actinopteri, Cyprinodontiformes, Fundulidae. The transcript is spliced from 3 exons.